GAUGAACGCUGGCGGCGUGCCUAAUACAUGCAAGUCGAGCGAACAGACGAGGAGCUUGCUCCUCUGACGUUAGCGGCGGACGGGUGAGUAACACGUGGAUAACCUACCUAUAAGACUGGGAUAACUUCGGGAAACCGGAGCUAAUACCGGAUAAUAUAUUGAACCGCAUGGUUCAAUAGUGAAAGACGGUUUUGCUGUCACUUAUAGAUGGAUCCGCGCCGCAUUAGCUAGUUGGUAAGGUAACGGCUUACCAAGGCAACGAUGCGUAGCCGACCUGAGAGGGUGAUCGGCCACACUGGAACUGAGACACGGUCCAGACUCCUACGGGAGGCAGCAGUAGGGAAUCUUCCGCAAUGGGCGAAAGCCUGACGGAGCAACGCCGCGUGAGUGAUGAAGGUCUUCGGAUCGUAAAACUCUGUUAUUAGGGAAGAACUAAUGUGUAAGUAACUAUGCACGUCUUGACGGUACCUAAUCAGAAAGCCACGGCUAACUACGUG
This 497-nucleotide ribosomal RNA is filed under the name uncultured bacterium. RNAcentral's name for it is "partial 16S ribosomal RNA". It matches the Rfam family "Bacterial small subunit ribosomal RNA", at positions 28 to 507 of the family's 1533-position model. The record is from RNAcentral.